UGGGGAAUUUUGGACAAUGGGCGAAAGCCUGAUCCAGCAAUGCCGCGUGUGUGAAGAAGGCCUUCGGGUUGUAAAGCACUUUUGUCCGGAAAGAAAUCCUUGGCUCUAAUACAGUCGGGGGAUGACGGUACCGGAAGAAUAAGCACCGGCUAACUACGUGCCAGCAGCCGCGGUAAUACGUAGGGUGCAAGCGUUAAUCGGAAUUACUGGGCGUAAAGCGUGCGCAGGCGGUUUGCUAAGACCGAUGUGAAAUCCCCGGGCUCAACCUGGGAACUGCAUUGGUGACUGGCAGGCUAGAGUAUGGCAGAGGGGGGUAGAAUUCCACGUGUAGCAGUGAAAUGCGUAGAGAUGUGGAGGAAUACCGAUGGCGAAGGCAGCCCCCUGGGCCAAAUACUGACGCUCAUGCACGAAAAGCGUGGGGAGCAAAACAGGAUUAGAUACCCUGGUAGUCCACGCCCUAAAACGAUGUCAACUAGUUGUUGGGGAUUCAUUUCCUUAGUAACGUAGCUAACGCGUGAAGUUGACCGCCUGGGGAGUACGGUCGCAAGAUUAAAACUCAAAUGAAUUGACGGGGUCAUAGCUG
RNAcentral lists this ribosomal RNA (583 nucleotides) under uncultured bacterium. RNAcentral describes it as "partial 16S ribosomal RNA". It matches the Rfam family "Bacterial small subunit ribosomal RNA", at positions 355 to 932 of the family's 1533-position model. The record is from RNAcentral.